UUGUCUCCCUGGAACUGGUUAAACAUUUUAUCUGCGGCCUAUCAAAUAUCCACACAUACAUAUUUUGUACAUAUACUUGUUGUAUUAUUAGUAAUAAAUAUUCUAUAUUCUUUCUACAAUUUGUAUUGUCUGUUUUUAAGCGCCAGUAGUCCGUUUAUUAAUAGCAUGUUAGAAAGGUUACAAACACAUUUAUACAAACAUGAAGCAGCUGUUUUUUUACUGAACUGGUCAGUGGUAAUACAAAACUAGGGUUUCAAAAAGAUGAAGAAAAAGAAAAAGACAUUUAAACAUGCUAAAGUUUCUGAAAAAGCAAAUCAGACAUAGUGUUUAACUGAAAUUGAAAAAAAGGAUCAUAAUAGUCUAUAAUAUGUAAACAUUUAUUUCAGAAAGCCAACAACAAAUGAAAGGAAACUAUGUAUUGCUUAAAAACAUUGACCAGGGCCGUAACAGCCUCAUGUUUGAAAUUUUAAAACAAAGUCACAGUACAAAGG
RNAcentral lists this long non-coding RNA (491 nucleotides) under Mytilus galloprovincialis (Mediterranean mussel). The record is from RNAcentral. Lineage: Eukaryota; Metazoa; Mollusca; Bivalvia; Mytilida; Mytilidae.